Molecule: ribosomal RNA, 405 nt
Filed under: Triticum aestivum (bread wheat)
Lineage: Eukaryota; Viridiplantae; Streptophyta; Magnoliopsida; Poales; Poaceae
Description: partial small subunit ribosomal RNA
Source: RNAcentral
AUGUGGCGCGGGGUGCUUGAGCAGUCCAACUCCCGGUCCAAGGACCUCGGCCUGGACGAACUAGUGGCGGACAAUUCCGUGGCGUCGGCGCCGUACAACGGGGACGACCUGGAGAUGAAGCGGUUCACCAUGGAGUUCCUGUCCCAUUACUGCAGGGUUCUGAAGAAUGGUGUGGAGGUGAAGUUGCAGAGGAAUGCCCUGAGUGUCUUGGAAGCUCCAGCUACUUCUUGUGCAGGGCAUCUCGACAAGCAACUCCUCAAGCAUCUCAACAAGCAUCUCGAUAAGCAUCUCAACAAGCAACUCCUCAAGCAUCUCGACAAGCAUCUCAACAAGCAACUCCUCAAGCAUCUCGACAAGCAAAUCCUCAAGCAUCUCAAAAAGCAACUCCUCAAGCAUCUUAACUAG